Toxorhynchites rutilus septentrionalis is the source of this 1390-nucleotide long non-coding RNA. RefSeq lists it as uncharacterized. Lineage: Eukaryota; Metazoa; Arthropoda; Insecta; Diptera; Culicidae. The transcript has 5 exons. The record is from RefSeq and is a predicted model, not a curated record.
AUACGGCCAUUUGCAUUACAGACGUCUCUUCAGUGAGUACAAAUUGAUCUCGUUGAACUUUAUUUUAUUUAUCGGGCAUUUUCGACGCGCGACGACACAAGCACGGAUAGAGAAACAGAUUCACUGGAAAUUGGAGAUAUAAUCCCGGUUGAAGCAUCUUCACAUUCGUUUCUAUACCUGGUUUCACAACGAGUGGUGCAUCUAUUUGAAGCUUCUACCUAUUUACAAUAAUCCUCGUAACGGCUCGGAAUCUGCGUGUUUAAACGGAAAAUAUUGCAUUGGAUUACACCGGCACUUCCAACCUCCGUGACCUCACCACCCACAUGUGGCAAUACCUCUCCGAUCCCCGGAAGACGGGUGUUGCAUCUCUGUACUGAGUCCAAAUCAUACUCAGAAAUUCCAGAUAGUGUUCCUAUAAAUUAAAGCUACCGAUCGUUCGUUCAAUGGAACUGCUGCCGCAGCUGCUAUUGCUGCCCCAGCCACAGGACUGUCCAAAUAUGAGGAUGACCAGUAUAUCCUAUCAUAAUUGAUAGUCGCAGAAGUUUGGAAUCAGUAACGUUUGAGAAAACUUCGGGAAGAACUCCGCAACGAAGAAACUGAAUUGGUGCUAUUGAAGAAGUAGAAACAGUAAUGAUGAAAGAAAAUUUGAUUGUGGCUCCAAGUAAUACAAACAUGAACAACACUCUAGCUUCGAUACCAGCCGCCCUACCGAAAGGGUCAUUCAGUAUGACACCAAAGAAUGCAGUGGAUCGCCUAUCAAUAUCACAAUGUCUCUCUUCACUACCGAGAGCCGUUACUCUCACCCCUAGUACACCGGGUCAUAGGCUAUGUAUCGAACAAUCGAACGAUCGCACUGUCAGUGACGAUAACUGAUAACGAACGCACCUUCGAAUAGUGUAAAACAGCGAAAUGUACAGUCUGGACAGAUUAGCAAUUCGGUAUCUACAACAACAGCACCAUAAAUACCAGCAUAAAUAAGCUGGACUACUAUGGAGCCGGUUUCACUUGAGAUAACACUCAGACUCAGUCUCUACGACAAGCUGCGGCCAAACCGGCACUCAGAAAACAGUGGAAGAAAACCUUGCUACGGAUCCGUCCAAACCUCCGCGGAUAUGUAUUUCAUUUCGAAUGGAUGCACAUGAAUGCGCAAAUAAUGACGCAGCUUGCACCAUUAUUGGAAACAAUCCCCCGGUGGACUAUCUGAGGAGAUAAAAGCGAGAAAAUAUUUUCACUGAGUGCGGAUGCUCUGAACUAUUUUUUUUCCUUUAUUUCUCUGAACUAUUCAUUCCUACCCAAAUAACUGUCUUCAUCGCGUUCUGAAACCGGAGAAAAUUCCACUGACGGACAAUGACAUUGUGAAAUUCUCCAAUUUCAAGUGGUUCUUCGCUUA